UCCUACGGGAUGCAGCAGUGGGGAACCUUCGGGUGGUAGCAGUGAGGGAUAUUGGGCAAUGGGGGAAACCGAGGAGCACCGACGGCGCUAAAUGAUGAAGGCCUUCAGGUAGUAAAACCCUUUUAAUACCGACGAGAAGAAGGAAACUGUUAAAUAAGCCUCAAAACCC
RNAcentral lists this ribosomal RNA (169 nucleotides) under uncultured bacterium. Its description in RNAcentral is "partial 16S ribosomal RNA". The record is from RNAcentral.